AGGAGCUCGGCUGAUCCCUUGGGUCGGUGUAUCGGGGGUGCCGUCUGGUCGGCUGGAGUCCGGGCCACCAUGCGGUUACGGCAGCUGUGGGGCUCGGUGCGCUGUGUGGUGCUGGGAAUGGUGCAUCUACAGGCGCUGCCAGGAGCUCCGCUGCACCGGUUCUCCUUGGCUCAGGUAAUGCGGAAGGCGUGCGAGGAAGCGGCGAUCUACGUCGAUGCCGGGAUCGAUGGACUAAUUGUGGAAAAUAUGCACGAUAUUCCUUACAGUACAAAUGUUGGUCCAGAAGUGACUGCUGUCAUGGCGACUAUUUGUGCUGCUGUGAGACAGUCCCAUCCCACACUUCCUCUGGGUGUUCAGAUUCUUUCUGCAGCCAAUCAACAAGCAUUGGCAGUUGCAUUUGCAGCAGGUGCUGAUUUUAUUCGAGCCGAAGGAUUUGUAUUCUCACAAGUCUCAGAUGAAGGGUUUCUGGAUGCAUGUGCUGGUGAUCUUCUCAGAUAUCGCAGGCAAAUAGGAGCUGAAAACAUUCAAAUCUUUACUGAUAUUAAGAAAAAACACAGCUCACAUGCUGUGACGUCAGAUAUCAGUGUAUCAGAUACCGGUAGGGCUGCUGAAUUCUUCCUGUCUGAUGGUGUCAUACUGACUGGAAUAGCCACUGGGAUGGAGGCAAAUCCUGCAGAACUGAAAGAGGUUAAACAGGCUUUAAAAAUUCCUGUCCUCAUCGGCUCUGGUGUGACCUAUGAAAACAUGGAGCAGUACAUGGAUGCAGAUGCCUUCAUUGUUGGUUCACAUUUUAAAAAAGCAGGAUACUGGGCCAAUGAACUUGAACCUGAACGGAUUAAGAAAUUUAUGACAAAAAUGCAUCAGCUGAGGAAAUGAAACACAAAACCGUGAGGUCAGUGUGGCGAUUCUGCAGUUAGAGCUGUUGCCUCAACUCCAGGAGCCUGGGUUUGAACCUGACCUCAGAUGCUGUGUGUGUAGACUACAAACUUCCCACUGGCGUACUCCAGAAAAUAACUCAAUCAAGGAAAACAUCCCAUUGAUGGACCAAAUAAACAGAUGCACAUUCCUGUUUUUCCCAUAAAUCCACUUCACAGCUUGGUUCUAGAUCUUGCACUUGGCCCAGAGGAAAGUGGAGGAACUUCCAUUGACCCAAAUGUUUUGCAGCAUGAAGUGAAUUUGUUCUGCAAUCUUUGACCACUGCUUUGAAUCGCCUAGAUCCAUAAAAUGAAAGAGGGGAGCACGGUCAGAAACAUAACCUGCAUUGGAAAUAUUGCUGCCACUGAAGAUAGAUUACAAUAGCUUUUGGUCCUGAUUGAGUGUAGGUUGAAGUCAGCAUCAAAGCAUGAGAAUGUGUUGGCUACACAGUUAAAUUUCUAGAAAAAAAGAUAUAAUAUUCUAAUGACCAUGUGGAGAGGGAUUGUUUUGCAAAUGAACAUAGGUCUUGGCCUCAAAGUAUUUAAUGGGAAUGUGGAACAGGACCUUUCACAUUGCAUCACACUUUGGUUUCGCGACAGAAGGAUGGUAAACUGAGGUUCAGGUGAGAUGGUAAACUGAGGUUCAGCUGCCCUCCUGAGUGACCAUAAGAUCCUAUGAUAUUAUUUGAACAAAUGCAAGUGAGUUCCUUGAGUGGUGCAUUCAUCAUUGUUUGUGGGACUUUGAUGUGUGCGAAGUAGCUUCCAAUUUUUUUACACUAUUAUGGUGACCGUAACUACACAACCUUGGCAGACUUGUUAUUUUUUUGAUUAAUAACAACAGGAAAAAAAAGUCAUUUAUUUUUAGGCAACAACUUCCAUUUUUACCAAAUUCACUAUUGAGGAUUGCACAAAAUUAAGGGCUGAGGGGAUCAAGUCAAUGCAGGUAAACCAUUAAAACCUGUGAAAGUUCAAAAUGCUGGUCAAUAAACCUGCUUCAUCGCUGCUAUUUUAAACUUGUUUUCUGCCGAAAAUGGCUGCUCAGCAACUGUUGCUGUUUACUUGCAGCCAUGGUGCCUCAUGAUGUUGGGGUGUCUGUGUGUACUGCACAGCAGUGUGACAAGCCAAUGUGUGAGGAAAGUGUAGGAUGCGUUGGCGGCAUUCAAGCUGCUGCUGGUUUGUCAGGACACAGGUCCUACGCAGCUCCAGGAGGAGAAGGCAAGGAGGAUAAAGAUGAAGAAGUGGAGGAGGAGAUGGCCUUCGUCCUGGUUAUCCCAGCUGCAGCCCAUUUCACAAUUUGGAACAACCAGAGGCAGCCGGUUCACAACCUGCCAUUCAUUUUUGAGAAUGACCUAGGGCUUGGCCAGAAACAAAUCGAGCUUCUCCUCCUUCCUCACGCAUUGCCGUGUUGACCUAAGAUCCAACGGAGUGCCUGCUCCUCAGGCUGUCUGCCCCAUUUUGAAGGUUUCUGCCAUUUACUUCUCCCAUUUAUUUCCAUGCCAAUUAUUGUCGAUUAAAAUAAUUUUCAGACUGCCUUAAAGAUUUGGGUGAAAGCUACAUUUGUGUAUGUUUACUCAUGAGAAUUAUAACCCAUUAAGAAUAAAGGUACACCUUUGGCUGUGAAAUAUUUUGUUAUGUCCCAAGGUCACGAAAGAUGCAUUAACAAUCAAGUUCUGUUUCCUUUCUACAAAUCAGUUGAAUCCCUUGAACUGACCGAUGUCCCCAGUCAUGUUUUCCUUUGGAAAGUGUCAACUUCCAAAGCUUUCUAAUAAUGCCAAGUCGUAUCAGUAAUAAUGCCAGUCACAAGUAUACAUGUGGACUACAGGAAAUAUCAUGCAGUGCACCCUAAAUAUGAUG
Molecule: RNA transcript, 2768 nt
Organism: Pristis pectinata (smalltooth sawfish)
Lineage: Eukaryota; Metazoa; Chordata; Chondrichthyes; Rhinopristiformes; Pristidae
Exons: 8
Source: RefSeq, a predicted model, not a curated record